UCAUUAUGUCGCUUGGGAAAUUUUCAUUGCUUUAAAGGGAUUUUACUGCUUGACUUCAACCCAAGUAAGAGGUUGCUCCCCUGGUCAAUAACUCCCGAACAAACAUACUUUUCUUCUUUGUUAAUUAGUCAUGUUAUCUAUUAUGAGAGGCCGAGUGAUUAAUAUGUUCCCUCGUUCCUUGUCAUCGGUAUUUAAAACCCCUGGUAAGACUUUCAGCACAUGUACUUCUCGCUGUCAAGUACACACAAAUAAACAUGAUUUUUCAUUAAUCAUCCGAAUCUAAGGCCAGCUCUUGCAGCUCCUCCGUGAAGCUGAAGUUCUGGGUUCUUGAUCGAAUUUUGUUUGAUACAGUCUCGAACUGUCAAGAAGAUUCUCAGAUGCAUUUUGGUUCAUCUUCUUGGACAGGUUCACACUAGCAGUUGCGUCGUCCUCGUGCACAGAGGACGGAAAUUGACCAAGCUUAUUACACUAACAGUAAUUUUUCGAAUUCAUGAGAAUUAACAGCUUGCUAGUUGCAUUUUCUUUGUUUGGAUCAAUUUGGCAACUUGACGUAGACGUCGAGGCAUAUUGCUGUGCAAUUUCUGACCUUUUGGAUUCGUUGGCAAGCAUGUUCAUCUGCUCGGCUGCAUUAAAGGUGGCUGUACUGGAGAAGUUAUUGGUUCCCUUGGAGGCAUCCUCAUGGCUUAACUGGGAAGCAACAAAUUUGUCAAGGACUCGCCAAUCAGUCACUUGGUCUACAGCUUGCUCACUAUUAUUGUUAUUGUGAAGUGAGUUUAAAUUUUGUUGAUGACAUUGCUGCAUUUUUUCUUCUUGUGUAAGGGUAGAUGACUGCAAGGUGUUCCCAUUGGUCCUGUCAAAACCAUAUGCAAUAACUGAAUUACAACUCGCAGUUGCUGCUGAUUGUGGAACUUUUGGGCUUUCUAAUUGAGGAAGCUGGAGGAAAGGGUCAUGAGGCAUAUUGUAUUGCAACUCAAGUUCUUGCUUGCAAUGAUAGUGAUGAUGGUAUGGUGCGUAAGGUUGAGAUAUUCGCCUUGGAGAAUCAAUUUCUGGCAUGAAUGAAACCUGGUCAUCAUACCAACAUGGUUGAAGGGCUGGAACUGUCAGUUAUUCUACUCGAUACAGAAUCUGAAGUUGUUCUGUACAGGGUCUUUGUAUCUAAUUCAUGUGCCAAAAAUCUCCCCACCACACACCUCAAUUUUAAGUACUACAGCUAGCAUCUAUCCUAUACAUUCUACAGUUUACAUCAUUAGUACAUAAGAAUUAGAACCAUCAUAAUUAAUUAGUAAUUGGAAAUUAAAAAAAAUAACGAUUAUAUAUGCAUAAGCGAGGUCCCAAGUUAUCACUUAAUUUCUUUCGGCAUGCCUUUUGGCAAUCAAACUAGUGCUAAAUAGAAGGAACGAGCUCUCGAGAGUGCCCCUUUCAGUAUGCAUACAGAGUUCUUCCCAAGUCAAUUAUAUAUAUGGUGGACAACAAGGAUAAAAUAGCAUAGCACAUUGGCCUAUAUGAAGAAUUUUGUUAAGUAGCAAAAAUUAAAAAUAACUUGCCUGGGGGAUUCCAUUUUCAUUUGUUUCUAGUCGAUAUUCAUGCAUGAUCCAAUCUGACUUUUGUCCAUUUGGAGCUCGUCCUUUGUAAAACACUAGGGUUUUUCUCAUGCCAACCAAGCUAUGCCUAGAGUAGAUAGCCUUGUCUCUUCCAGUAGCUUUCCAAAACCCAGCUUUUGUCGCUCUAUUAGUGCGAGUUCCAGUAGGAUACUUCUUAUCUUUAUGGCUGAAGAA
Molecule: long non-coding RNA, 1775 nt
Organism: Populus trichocarpa (black cottonwood)
Lineage: Eukaryota; Viridiplantae; Streptophyta; Magnoliopsida; Malpighiales; Salicaceae
Exons: 4
Source: RefSeq, a predicted model, not a curated record